Long non-coding RNA from Gallus gallus (chicken), 1127 nucleotides. The record is from Ensembl. NCBI's taxonomy places the organism in Eukaryota, Metazoa, Chordata, Aves, Galliformes, Phasianidae.
AGUUAUCUGCUGUGCCACUGUAAUAGAAAGAAGAAUGGGAAGUAGUAUCUCACGAAGAUUAGCCACGAUGGUGUGGGCCCAGCACCCUGGCUAGCACCCCUUCUAAUGAGGUUAAUUUGAAAGAACCAAAGAAAAAUCAAAUUGUUUGAAAAAGCACUAAGAGAAAGGUGAGACUCACACAGAUAGACACCAAACCUCAUCUCACUACAGACAACAAAAAUUGAAAAAUUAGAAGAGUGAAAAAGCUCUCAUUCAGAGGAUACAGAGAUGCUUCCAGGCACGUCAGAGUAAACUAGUUUCCUUUGCCUAUAUUGAAAACAUUUUUAAUGUGGAAAAAAGCUUACUUCGGUGUGUCUAGUUCAGCCUCUGCAAGAACAGAGGAUGCACAAAAUCCCACAGUGAGGUGGGCUCUAUAUCUGACCUUACUCAAAAGAGGAAAGCAUCAAACUGUGAUGGAUAAAUACGAGUACAGAGAUGACAAGUAGAGCAAAGAGGAAGUAGGGGUCCAGGCUGCCAAACCCAGCUGGCUGUUCAUAGUGCACAGGGGAAGGCACUUCUUGGCAGACUGUAUGGCUGGGGGGGUGCUAGGAGGAGACAACACAUUUGUGGUGACCUCUAAGCUCCUCUGCCCCAAAUCUACAGGGUUACAAGAAGAAAAACAGGACACUGGGAGACAUUAAGGAAAACAAGGUACUUCUCAAUGCUCAAUCCCACUGAGUUCACUGAGAUUAGAAAAGGCAGGUGGCAAACAAGAGUUGAAUAAGAAUCCCUGAGACAUCUGAAAAACUACUAAACAUCACCUCACUUAGACAACUUGGCUCCUUCUGAUGCUCUAGCUGAUACACCAGCCUUUAGUUAAAACAGAAGCAGUGGAAAUCCCUCCCCUUUGCCUUGAGCUGCAGAGUGACACUUUCAGGAAUGAGAUAAACCUGCUGGAAUCCUGCAGGUCCCUGCUUCCUUACUGAAACUGACUGAUGUGGAAAGCAAGUGAGAGCUGGGACACAAGGGCCAGCAGAGCAUGGCUGUGAGCUGGCACCAGUGGGUGCUGCAACCUGCAAGUGUCAGUGAAAUGCUUUGUGAAGAUCCUUAACUCUGCUAUGUCUGCGCAUCUUUCUCUUUUGACUAAA